This 449-nucleotide ribosomal RNA is filed under the name uncultured bacterium. RNAcentral's name for it is "partial 16S ribosomal RNA". It matches the Rfam family "Bacterial small subunit ribosomal RNA", at positions 29 to 523 of the family's 1533-position model. The record is from RNAcentral.
AACGAACGCUGGCGGCAGGCUUAACACAUGCAAGUCGAACGAACCCUUCGGGGUGAGUGGCGCACGGGUGCGUAACACGUGGGAACCUGCCCUUAGGUUCGGAAUAACACAGAGAAAUUUGUGCUAAUACCGGAUAAUGUCUUCGGACCAAAGAUUUAUCGCCUUUGGAUGGGCCCGCGUAGGAUUAGCUAGUUGGUGAGGUAAAGGCUCACCAAGGCGACGAUCCUUAGCUGGUCUUAGAGGAUGAUCAGCCACACUGGGACUGAGACACGGCCCAGACUCCUACGGGAGGCAGCAGUGGGGAAUAUUGGACAAUGGGCGAAAGCCUGAUCCAGCAAUGCCGCGUGAGUGAUGAAGGCCUUAGGGUUGUAAAGCUCUUUUACCUGGGAUGAUAAUGACAGUACCAGGAGAAUAAGCCCCGGCUAACUCCGUGCCAGCAGCCGCAGUAA